This 253-nucleotide ribosomal RNA is filed under the name uncultured bacterium. RNAcentral's name for it is "partial 16S ribosomal RNA". It matches the Rfam family "Bacterial small subunit ribosomal RNA", at positions 524 to 776 of the family's 1533-position model. The record is from RNAcentral.
UACGGAGGGUGCAAGCGUUAUCCGGAUUCACUGGGUUUAAAGGGUGCGUAGGCGGGCAGAUAAGUCAGUGGUGAAAUACCUGAGCUUAACUUGGGAACUGCCAUUGAUACUAUUUGUCUUGAAUGUCGUGGAGGUUAGCGGAAUAUGUCAUGUAGCGGUGAAAUGCUUAGAGAUGACAUAGAACACCUAUUGCGAAGGCAGCUAACUACGCGAAUAUUGACGCUGAGGCACGAAAGCGUGGGGAUCAAACAGG